RNAcentral lists this ribosomal RNA (698 nucleotides) under Salmonella enterica subsp. enterica serovar Derby. Its description in RNAcentral is "partial 23S ribosomal RNA". It matches the Rfam family "Bacterial large subunit ribosomal RNA", at positions 2105 to 2802 of the family's 2925-position model. The record is from RNAcentral. Lineage: Bacteria; Pseudomonadati; Pseudomonadota; Gammaproteobacteria; Enterobacterales; Enterobacteriaceae. RNAcentral also lists the same sequence under 1 other name.
UAUAGCUUGACACUGAACAUUGAGCCUUGAUGUGUAGGAUAGGUGGGAGGCUUUGAAGUGUGGACGCCAGUCUGCAUGGAGCCGACCUUGAAAUACCACCCUUUAAUGUUUGAUGUUCUAACGUGGACCCGUAAUCCGGGUUGCGGACAGUGUCUGGUGGGUAGUUUGACUGGGGCGGUCUCCUCCUAAAGAGUAACGGAGGAGCACGAAGGUUGGCUAAUCCUGGUCGGACAUCAGGAGGUUAGUGCAAUGGCAUAAGCCAGCUUGACUGCGAGCGUGACGGCGCGAGCAGGUGCGAAAGCAGGUCAUAGUGAUCCGGUGGUUCUGAAUGGAAGGGCCAUCGCUCAACGGAUAAAAGGUACUCCGGGGAUAACAGGCUGAUACCGCCCAAGAGUUCAUAUCGACGGCGGUGUUUGGCACCUCGAUGUCGGCUCAUCACAUCCUGGGGCUGAAGUAGGUCCCAAGGGUAUGGCUGUUCGCCAUUUAAAGUGGUACGCGAGCUGGGUUUAGAACGUCGUGAGACAGUUCGGUCCCUAUCUGCCGUGGGCGCUGGAGAACUGAGGGGGGCUGCUCCUAGUACGAGAGGACCGGAGUGGACGCAUCACUGGUGUUCGGGUUGUCAUGCCAAUGGCACUGCCCGGUAGCUAAAUGCGGAAGAGAUAAGUGCUGAAAGCAUCUAAGCACGAAACUUGCCCCGA